GUGGCUCAAUGGUUGAGCAUUCAGCUGCUAACAGAAAGGUUGGUGGUUUGAACCCACCC
RNAcentral lists this transfer RNA (59 nucleotides) under Loxodonta africana (African savanna elephant). It matches the Rfam family "tRNA", at positions 7 to 64 of the family's 71-position model. Rfam says of the family: Transfer RNA (tRNA) molecules are approximately 80 nucleotides in length. Their secondary structure includes four short double-helical elements and three loops (D, anti-codon, and T loops). Further hydrogen bonds mediate the characteristic L-shaped molecular structure. tRNAs have two regions of fundamental functional importance: the anti-codon, which is responsible for specific mRNA codon recognition, and the 3' end, to which the tRNAs corresponding amino acid is attached (by aminoacyl-tRNA synthetases). tRNAs cope with the degeneracy of the genetic code in two manners: having more than one tRNA (with a specific anti-codon) for a particular amino acid; and 'wobble' base-pairing, i.e. permitting non-standard base-pairing at the 3rd anti-codon position. The record is from Rfam by way of RNAcentral. Lineage: Eukaryota; Metazoa; Chordata; Mammalia; Proboscidea; Elephantidae.